Molecule: long non-coding RNA, 590 nt
Organism: Nerophis ophidion (straightnose pipefish)
Lineage: Eukaryota; Metazoa; Chordata; Actinopteri; Syngnathiformes; Syngnathidae
Exons: 3
Source: RefSeq, a predicted model, not a curated record
CUCACAAUGGUUCCGCCUAACCUACAUUUUGUGUUGGGGCAUUUUUACACCACUCGAUAAAUAUCUUGGAAGGUAAUAAUUCAGGCGAGCUUUGCAGCUGCUGCAGCUCUCGGAGGCGCUCUUCAAGUCGGAGCUGAUGGAUUCAAACGUGAACAUCGCAAGGUCGUGUACGGAGGUCUACGUCGCAUGCCACCUACAUGCUUGAAAUCCUUGAAGGGGACGAACUGGACGAUGUCGCGCAGCACAGGUUCGCCCUUGGGGGAACGCAGGAUGCCGUCAUCCCCGUCCAGAAUCUGCAUGUCGGUGAAGUCCGCGUUGCCCACGCCCACAAUGAUGACGGACAUGGGCAGGUGGGAGGCGUGCACGAUGGCCUCCCGCGUGUCCGCCAUGUCGGUGAUGACGCCGUCCGUCAGGAUGAGCAGGAUGAAAUAUUCCUGAGGCGGCACAGGAGGAAGACUUUGGAUGAGGAUGUGACAUUUGAACCAUGACUGACUGUCAAAAACCAGGCCCUUAAUGUCACUUCAGAGCAUUUCAACCAUGUGAUCACUCCCAGCCAAUCACAGAGCAAAGCUGGUGAUGCAAUCUAGUGA